AAUACAUUGAUCAGGAAGAGUUGAAU
This 26-nucleotide non-coding RNA is filed under the name Cricetulus griseus (Chinese hamster). Lineage: Eukaryota; Metazoa; Chordata; Mammalia; Rodentia; Cricetidae. The record is from RNAcentral.